Molecule: non-coding RNA, 27 nt
Filed under: Homo sapiens (human)
Lineage: Eukaryota; Metazoa; Chordata; Mammalia; Primates; Hominidae
Source: RNAcentral
UCGUCGUGCCACUGUGCCUACUCUGCC